Molecule: non-coding RNA, 85 nt
Organism: Helianthus annuus (common sunflower)
Lineage: Eukaryota; Viridiplantae; Streptophyta; Magnoliopsida; Asterales; Asteraceae
Source: Rfam
UCUCGGUGAUAAUAUCACAGAUGACGAGUCUGAUAUAUCCAUUCCAUUCAUUGUGAAGACGAAUCGAGGCAUUUGUCUGAGAGAU